Long non-coding RNA from Neoarius graeffei (lesser salmon catfish), 1074 nucleotides. RefSeq lists it as uncharacterized. The record is from RefSeq and is a predicted model, not a curated record. The transcript has 5 exons. Lineage: Eukaryota; Metazoa; Chordata; Actinopteri; Siluriformes; Ariidae.
CGACUAGUUGGAGACAAAACAAUUGCUGUAAAAUAUGCGAAUAUCAAUUCAGUGCUAUUCCAAGAGAAAGUUGUCGCUAAUUCGCAUAUUUUAUCGCAAUUGUUGUGUCUCCAACUAGUCGCAGUCGAGUGAGAUACUGGCUUAACUCUUUCUAAAAAGAACUUACCUUCAAAUAUUGCGAAAUGUCGACAAUUCAACAUUUUCUGUACCUAUUUCAGUACAGACUAGCUUGCUAACCGGCAUACUAACUUUCCCUUACUAAUUAGUACACAUAUCAGAGGGUCUACUAGAAUAAUACUGUACUCUUUCUUUAGUAUACAGUGCUGAAAACAUUACUAAACACAUAAACGUUAUUUCCAGUUUACUCACCACUAAUAGCAGGGAACUGAACAGCCCUGUGUAAUAAAUGCACCAUACCAGGGCCCUGCUACACACACCCCAGUCCAUCUUCCACAAGACAAAGCCACUUCACAUAGAACAAAUUCAACACUUCGAGUGCUCAAUAUAUAUAUUUUCCCCAGAAAAUAACGUCGAUAUUAACUAUAAAGACGAAAUAUCUUCCAUACUGCUCGGUUUCCUCCUCACCAGCUGUAACUACUAAUCCGAACACAUUUUCUCGUAGUACGCAUGCGCUGAAAUGUUGCCGAAGGCUGGCCUUUGACGUAAGUUCCGCUUAGACCGGAUGUCGCUCUGAUAGCCUCAGUUCUGUUUGUGGAAACGCGAACCUCAGAGCAGAUUAUUUUCCUGAUAUGUGACAUGAUGUGCGUGAAGACACGUGGCCGUGGUUUGGACUGGGAGAUAAAAACCUGCUGCUGAAACCUGUAUGGGAUGUGUGCAGUGCAUGACUGGUCUUCUGAGAGAGGGGGAAAAAUGUGGAGCUUAUUAGGAAGCCCAUGUCAAGAACCAGCCUCUGGUCUCAGAGCUAAGAAAUGAUAGAUUUAUCUAUCUAUCUACCUCUGAAUUGACCGAAAUGCAGACUUCCGACCAACAAGUUGAAUGACCUUGGAGACAAACGAAGUAUUGCAGGAAGAGAUGAAUUCGAUGCUUCGACAAUAAACUACAUGACCAAACCUA